AGAUAUAUAUAUAUAUAUAUGUAUAUAUUUUUUAGGACCCAUUUUUCCCUUAUGUAGGAGAGCGACUGACUUGUCAAUUUUAUAAACAGUCAAGUAACUAAAACAAAACAAAAAAUGCACUUUAGUAUUGUGACCAGAUAUGGGGAAGAAGAUUAGUUCAAAAGAUAAGGAACUAUGACCCUGGAAGAGGAGUACAAGAACUAUGCAGACAAUGCCACUUGGAAGGAGGAUUGGAGGUACAGGGGUAGAAAGGGUCCUAACGUCCUCCCUGUGGGAGAGGAGGGUGAAGACAAAAUCAAGAUCUCUUUACCAAAGGCCAUGCAGGGUGGUGCACGCCUGUAGUCCCAGCUACUCCGGAGGCUGAGGCUUGAGCCUGGGAGGCGGAGGUUGCAGUGAGUUGAGAUCGUGCCACUGCACUCCAGCGUGGGCGACAGAAUGAGGCCCUGUCUUAAGAAAAAAAAAAAAUCUUACAAGGAGAAAUGGGACUCAUGAGUGUAGACUACUAGUUUGAGAAUACUGGCCUGGAUUCUGUACCAGGGCAGCCACUUACCACAGGUGUUAGUUGCUCAAUAAUUUCAACAUGUUAUUUACUGUUCAUGAUGUAUGGUGGAGGAAGGCCAAGGCCAGGUUUUGUUCAUUUCCAUUUCCAGGAGUUAUAUGGCUUGUGGCACUUCACUGAUUAUGAAUCAUUUUCUUGAACGUUCAUAAAGACGGAAACUAUCCAUUCAUAAAAUGGAAACUAUUCAUGUGUGAAACUGAUAUACCUUCUCUGACACUUGUAUAUACCUUCUCUGACUGUGUUGGGAAAUAGUCCCUAUAAAGAAGCAUUUACCAUGAUGUGUUCCUGAGGAGAAAAUGAGAAAGAAGGAAGUUUGGGAUCUGCCUGUCUCUUAACACAGUUAAUAGAAUAUUAGAUCGCUCAGAGAAGGCCUACAGUAAUGAACUUGCUUAACUUUGUUUAGUCUGGUGUUUCUGUAGCAUUUUGACCACAGUAACUUUAAAGUAACACUCUAUUAAUAUCCCUCCCAUGUGGUUUUUCCCAGAAUACAUUUUGCAAAAUGCUGACAUAAAUCAUUCACCUGGGCACAGGACUGCUCAGAAGGCACUCUCGGCUCUCAAAAGGCAUUUCAGAUCUACUUUUUUGAAAUCAUCUGACUGGAUUUCGUUCAAGCUCUUGUUGCUGAAUCAGUUAUCAGUGUCUCCAGCCUUUCCAGUUGUAAUCUCCACAGGAGGCUAAAGCACAGCUAACAAAUGGUGCCAAGGGAGGCUCUAUCCCCAUGACCAGGCCAUGUCUCAGAGCAGCCACAAAUGACAGCAGGUCUCCAGAUCAGCAAUAUGCAGAAAGAGAAGCUGAUGGGGGUUGUGGAGAAAGGCUUCCAUCCCUCAGGGCACAGGAAGCCAGAAGGUUGACAAAAGGACACUGUCUCGGUUGGCCUGAAGCAGAGGUGAAUUGAAUUGAGGAGGACACCUUGACAAGGAGAAAAAAAAAUCAAGUCACAGAUGGGGCGAUCUGGGAGGGCUGACAAAGACAGCCCCACAGUGUGAAGUCAUACACAUUUCCUCAGGAAACCAUCUGUUUGAACAAGUACUGUCCGUCCAGUCUAAAUUGAUUUGUAGGAGAGAACUGCAGUCUGUUCCAUGCCUAGCCUGAGCCACGGCCUGUACUACCUGUUAUGCUGUAAGACCCUCUGAUUUCCAGGACCCUCUGGCUUUGGAUUUUGGUCGCCAUCUUUGGUUCUGCAUGUUUUAUACUGAUGGUUCAACCUGCAAGACAAAAAAGAGGGAGGUAUUGUUUAACAUCAUUAUUGACAUAUUUAAUAUAAUUAUUGUGUCAGACACUCUGGUAGGUUCUGGAAGGACAAAUGUGAACCCAAGUUUUGGAAGUCUAAGUAACUCAUCGAAAGUCCCACUGCUGGUAAAUGACAGAGCUGAUAUGUGAACCAGUCAGUCUGGCUUUGGAAUUCAUACUCUUACUCAUGGUGUCACUAACUCUACCUGACCGACCACAAUACUAGGCAUUAAGUGUCAAACAGAUUUAAGUCACACAGGCUGUGAAAGCACAAAGAAAAGACAUCAGUUCUGGCUAGGGGUGGGUUGGUUCUGGAAGGCUUUUAAAGAAAGAGUAUUUAAGCUGAUACUUAAAAGAUAAAGAUUUUUAACUGGCAGAAAAUAAGAAUGCAUUACUCAGGAUAAUUUAGAUUAUGCUGUGGUAACACAGGUUUAACCCAACAAGGGUUUCUCUCUCUUAAGAAAAUGAUAAGUCGGCCAGGCGUGGUGGCUCACGCCUGUAAUCUCAGCACUUUGGGAGGCCGAAGCAGGUGUAUC
This is a non-coding RNA of Macaca mulatta (Rhesus monkey), 2325 nucleotides long. The record is from RefSeq and is a predicted model, not a curated record. Lineage: Eukaryota; Metazoa; Chordata; Mammalia; Primates; Cercopithecidae.